GACGAACGCUGGCGGCGUGCUUAACACAUGCAAGUCGAACGGAAAGGCCCUGCUUUUGUGGGGUGCUCGAGUGGCGAACGGGUGAGUAACACGUGAGUAACCUGCCCUUGACUUUGGGAUAACUUCAGGGAACUGGGGCUAAUACCGGAUAGGAGCUCCUGCUGCAUGGUGGGGGUUGGAAAGUUUCGGCGGUUGGGGAUGGACUCGCGGCUUAUCAGCUUGUUGGUGGGGUAGUGGCUUACCAAGGCUUUGACGGGUAGCCGGCCUGAGAGGGUGACCGGCCACAUUGGGACUGAGAUACGGCCCAGACUCCUACGGGAGGCAGCAGUGGGGAAUAUUGCACAAUGGGCGGAAGCCUGAUGCAGCAACGCCGCGUGCGGGAUGACGGCCUUCGGGUUGUAACCCGCUUUCGCCUGUGACGAAGCGUGAGUGACGGUAAUGGGUAAAGAAGCACCGGCUAACUACGUGCCAGCAGCCGCGGUGAUACGUAGGGUGCGAGCGUUGUCCGGAUUUAUUGGGCGUAAAGGGCUCGUAGGUGGUUGAUCGCGUCGGAGGUGUAAUCUUGGGGCUUAACCCUGAGCGUGCUUUCGAUACGGGUUGACUUGAGGAAGGUAGGGGAGAAUGGAAUUCCUGGUGGAGCGGUGGAAUGCGCAGAUAUCAGGAGGAACACCAGUGGCGAAGGCGGUUCUCUGGGCCUUUCCUGACGCUGAGGAGCGAAAGCGUGGGGAGCGAACAGGCUUAGAUACCCUGGUAGUCCACGCUGUAAACGGUGGGUACUAGGUGUGGGGUCCAUUCCACGGGUUCCGUGCCGUAGCUAACGCUUUAAGUACCCCGCCUGGGGAGUACGGCCGCAAGGCUAAAACUCAAAGGAAUUGACGGAGCCCCGCACAAGCGGCGGAGCAUGCGGAUUAAUUCGAUGCAACGCGUAGAACCUUACCUGGGUUUGACAUGGAUCGGGAGUGCUCAGAGAUGGGUGUGCCUCUUUUGGGGUCGGUUCACAGGUGGUGCAUGCCUGUCGUCAGCUCGUGUCGUGAGAUGUUGGGUUAAGUCCCGCAACGAGCGCAACCCUUGUUCACUGUUGCCAGCACGUUAUGGUGGGGACUCAGUGGAGACCGCCGGGGUCAACUCGGAGGAAGGUGGGGAUGACGUCAAGUCAUCAUGCCCCUUAUGUCCAGGGCUUCACGCAUGCUACAAUGGCUGGUACAGAGAGUGGCGAGCCUGUGAGGGUGAGCGAAUCUCGGAAAGCCGGUCUCAGUUCGGAUUGGGGUCUGCAACUCGACCUCAUGAAGUCGGAGUCGCUAGUAAUCGCAAAUCAGCAACGCUGCGGUGAAUACGUUCCCGGG
This 1343-nucleotide ribosomal RNA is filed under the name uncultured bacterium. RNAcentral describes it as "16S ribosomal RNA". It matches the Rfam family "Bacterial small subunit ribosomal RNA", at positions 28 to 1378 of the family's 1533-position model. The record is from RNAcentral.